UGGAUUCGGUGAGGCUUCAUU
This 21-nucleotide unclassified non-coding RNA is filed under the name Mus musculus (house mouse). RNAcentral describes it as "oocyte_clustered_small_RNA9284". Lineage: Eukaryota; Metazoa; Chordata; Mammalia; Rodentia; Muridae. The record is from RNAcentral.